CAAGGAAUAGUUUAGUGUAAGAAUCCUAGCUUUGGGAGUUAGGGGCAGGAGUUAAAGUCUCCUUUUCUUGA
Molecule: transfer RNA, 71 nt
Filed under: Eleutheronema tetradactylum (Indian salmon)
Lineage: Eukaryota; Metazoa; Chordata; Actinopteri; Polynemidae
Also listed under: 1 other name
Description: tRNA-Pro
Rfam family: tRNA
About the family: Transfer RNA (tRNA) molecules are approximately 80 nucleotides in length.
Source: RNAcentral